RNAcentral lists this ribosomal RNA (254 nucleotides) under uncultured archaeon. RNAcentral's name for it is "partial 16S ribosomal RNA". It matches the Rfam family "Archaeal small subunit ribosomal RNA", at positions 474 to 727 of the family's 1478-position model. The record is from RNAcentral.
UCCUAGCGGUCCAAGUCGCAGCCAUCAUUAUUGGGUCUAAAACAUCCGUAGCUUGUUUAAUAAGUUCCUUGUGAAAUCUUAUCUCUUAAGGAUAAGGCGUGCAAGGAGUACUGCUAAGCUAGAGACUGGAAGACGUAAGAAGUAUGUUCAAAGUAGCGGUAAAAUGUGUUAAUCUUGAGCAGACUCACAACAGCGAAGGCAUCUUACGAGGACAGUUCUGACAGUAAAGGAUGAAGGCUAGGGGCGCAAAGUGG